GCGCUCGCUUCGACAGCACAUAGGCUAAAAUUGGAACCAUACAGAGAAUAUUAGCAUGGUCCCUGGGCAAGAAUGACAUGCGAAUUCGUGAAGCGUUCCGUACAUUA
Molecule: small nuclear RNA, 107 nt
Filed under: Balaenoptera musculus (blue whale)
Lineage: Eukaryota; Metazoa; Chordata; Mammalia; Artiodactyla; Balaenopteridae
Source: RNAcentral